Molecule: ribosomal RNA, 466 nt
Filed under: uncultured bacterium
Lineage: Bacteria
Description: partial 16S ribosomal RNA
Rfam family: Bacterial small subunit ribosomal RNA
Source: RNAcentral
GAUGAACGCUGGCGGCGUGCUUAACACAUGCAAGUCGAACGAUGAAGCCCAGCUUGCUGGGUGGAUUAGUGGCGAACGGGUGAGUAACACGUGAGUAACCUGCCCUUAACUCUGGGAUAAGCCUGGGAAACUGGGUCUAAUACCGGAUAGGAGCGCCUACCGCAUGGUGGGUGUUGGAAAGAUUUAUCGGUUUUGGAUGGACUCGCGGCCUAUCAGCUUGUUGGUGAGGUAAUGGCUCACCAAGGCGACGACGGGUAGCCGGCCUGAGCGGGUGACCGGCCACACUGGGACUGAGACACGGCCCAGACUCCUACGGGAGGCAGCAGUGGGGAAUAUUGCACAAUGGGCGAAAGCCUGAUGCAGCGACGCCGCGUGAGGGAUGACGGCCUUCGGGUUGUAAACCUCUUUCAGUAGGGAAGAAGCGAAAGUGACGGUACCUGCAGAAGAAGCACCGGCUAACUACGUG